CCCCGCCUGUCGUCUUCCUCCCAUGAGUUGGCCAAUGACAUGAAAAUACAACCAAAGGCAUAUACUGGUUCGGGCAUGUAGUCCAACUUCACAUACUAUAAGAAACACCAUCAUUUUAAAAUAAUGAUACAUGUUUGCAUAUAUAUACACGGUAGCAAACUUUUCCAGAAUAAAACACUUGCAGUUAAAGUACAUUGAACUUGGAUAUGUGACCUUGGUGCGCUUUUUGACAGGCGAAAUUGAUGUGUCGGUCGCCGAGUCUAAAUUUAAAAAAUCCCAUUUAGUAUAUAUUGACAAAAAAUAUGGUAUAGGGAUCUUUCUCAAAAGAAAUUGAUAUAUAUGUAUUACCUUGUACAACAAGUGCAGAGUCUAUAUCCCAAUAAGAAUCUGCGCCGAACUUACAGUUUCAAUUUAUUGAACAUUGUAAUAUAAAACAUUAUUCAUAAUAGGCUAAACACAAAUCAGUAUUAGCAGAGAAUAUAUAGAAUUAUUCAAUCAACAAAAACAAAAACUAAGCCCAAUAAUGUAAUGAACUUUGUCGAACUUUUCAUUUAUCGUUUAUCGUUCACAAUAAUUUUAUGUACAUUUUUCAUUUAUCGUUCACAACGUUGUCGAACUUUUCUCCUAUUUUGUUGAUUUUUUUCGCUUCUGUAAUGAACCUUUCUCAUAAGAUUCUUCCUUUAUCAUUCUGCCUAGCCAUGGAUAUAUGAAUCGUAGCUUUCCAAUUCAAUAGAAGAAAAACAUAAUUAAGCCAAGAAUGUUUCCUUUAUCAAUCACGCUGCCCAUGGACAUAUUCGACAAACACCAGAUCUUAUUUCAAAGAGAUUUCUAACAUUUAUGAGUUCUGGAAGUUAAGAAAUCGUUGAAAUACUAGCAAUAUAGACACAAUCAAGAAAUCAUGAAUCCUAGUUUCAUAAACAAAUUUAAUCGUCGAUAUCCAUCACGCGCCGAACACAAAAAAGAGGUAAAACAAAAAUUACCUUUAGAGUUCUCGACAUCCAUCGCGUGCCGAACAGAAAACAACGUUUCGAUAAAAAAAAGAUUAAGAAGAUAUUAUUCAGGAUUUCAAAGAAAUAGAUUCGUCGAAAUCUGUUAAUCAACUCCAUUAACAUUGAAAGAGCAAAAAUGGUGGGAUUUG
This 1138-nucleotide long non-coding RNA is filed under the name Salvia miltiorrhiza (redroot sage). Its description in RNAcentral is "long non-coding RNA (SMIL_LNC002236)". Lineage: Eukaryota; Viridiplantae; Streptophyta; Magnoliopsida; Lamiales; Lamiaceae. The record is from RNAcentral.